RNAcentral lists this long non-coding RNA (2073 nucleotides) under Physcomitrium patens. Its description in RNAcentral is "long non-coding RNA (PPAT_LNC003620)". Lineage: Eukaryota; Viridiplantae; Streptophyta; Bryopsida; Funariales; Funariaceae. The record is from RNAcentral.
GGAAUACAGUUGCGGAUCUCACUCUAAAGCACAAUGGCACAAAGAACCAAAAUUGCUCUCUGGAUACAAUUUUUAGAAAGGCAAAACAAACAAAACGUUUUUUCAUUGAAAGGGAUAAAAAGGUAGGGGAAAAAAAUACAUACAUGAAGGAGGUGGAGGGGAUUUUAAAAGAUAAAAAUAAUCAUGCUAAUCUUCUCAAAGAGAACAAUGUCUCUAUUUAAGUUGGAAUAACUUUUUUUUCUUUGUUGCAAGGUUGCUUCAAAGUGCAUGGCUAUGUUUGUUUUCUACCCAAGCUCACCUCAAAAGCAUCCACUAAAAUUCUUAAAUGUACUCUUAGGGGAAGGCCAAGAAAAAAUUAUUCUUGUACUUCAUCUUUGUCCAAACCCAUACAAUUCAUUCCUUGUCAUGGCUACAGUGUCAACCACAUCCACAUGAGAGCAUCCGAAGAUGCCUUACCAGGAUUCCACUUCUGGUACCACCAGCUCUAGUUCUGGUAAAGGAUGCCUAGCCUCUCGCUUGUGCAGUGUGUAAAUUUUGGAUAGUAUAAUGCCUGCUGUUGCAUGAAGCCUGUAAAACACAGGAUUGUUUACACAGAUAGAAGGUCCACAAGACUCCAAUAAUUUAGGCAUGUGCUGGUCCAAGGGAAUGCAAUUAAUCUCCACAUGUGACCCAACCAUGGGAACAACCAAAUGGGGUUUUGUGUCCUCACCCACUUGUGUGCAGAAUUAUCUCCUGAGCCCUAAAUACUUAGAUCUAGUAUCAAGAGAUGGAGGAAGAGAUUAUUGCCAGUGCUCUUUUCUUUGAUCCCUGCCAUUGAAAUCCAAUCUGUUUAUGGACAGGUAGAUAAAUAGAUAAAUCAAUAAAUGGAUUGGUCUGUUCAGAAAUAAUUUUGAAAUGAUAUGCUGUUAUUAAUAAUUAGCAGCAAACCACUUUCACUUUUCUGGGCUCUUUCAAAUAAGCAUUUAAAAUAAUGUUAGCGAUGUUUUUAAAACGAGGAUGUAUGUCCUGUGGAAUCAUUGGAGUGAGGCAGACAAACUCUGCUAAGUAUAUUCUGUAUUUCUUUCUCAAUUUUUUAUUUUUUGUUUUAUUUUUUUGUUUGUUGGAUUCCGUACCGAGAUGUGAAAGUCCAUCUUCCAACGUCUACAGGAUUUUUCAACAGCCCACUUGAUGCUGUUCUUCUUUUUCUAUGAAUCAUGGACACAAACAGAAAAUGAAAAAGAAAACACAAAAAUGAAUAAUUCCCACUGAUGACACAACAAUGCCAUUCCUCCACGAAUAGGUAAUGGAAUAUGUUUGAAUGAAAGUGUAGAAAGAAGAAUAAGAAGGUAAAAUCUGGCUUUUUCCUUAGUCUGUACACACAAUUUAAAAGACUGACAUUUUUAGGGUUCAAAAGCUGGUUACAGUGAGGAGGUAUCUAAAGAAGAAGGUGGACUAUUGUGGGAGGAUUGAGAGCUUGUCUCUUUUGGCUCCAUUUGAGAUUGUGCCCUCCUUCUCCAAUGUCAGAGCACCUCCAAAGUUUAAAGAGACAAUUACUGCACAGAAACAUCAUGCCAAUUUUGUUGUUGGAUGUUUUGGAUUUGUGUGGAGGAUUCUGAUAAUCAUCUAAAAGCAUAAUUAAAAUUAAAUAUUAAAAAAUUCAGAUUUUUCAUUCAUUGGACAAUUUUCUUUCAAACAGAAACUUGUCACUAGAGCAUAUUGAAAGGGUGCUGUGUUACAAUCUACAUAAUAAAAAGGUUAAUGCAAAUGUUGUUGAAUGAUUGUUUAAUCAUAAUUUUGAAUAAUAUGUACCUACCACCUUUGAGGCUUUUUGAUCUACAAAAUUCAUGCAACAUUAUUAUUAUUGUGUGUAGAGUAGUGCUUUCGUAUAUUUAUCAUCUGAGAUGACAAAUUUUAUAUAUUUUAUGUUGCAAAAUUGUAAUGUCAAAAUUAUUAAAAAUGAGUUAGUAAAAAACAAAGAUAAGAAAAGGGAGGAUUACAUAUAGAAUCACAAGAUAUCAUUAGUUAAAUUUACUUUCCAAAAAUAGCCAUUCAGAAAAUUGAUUACAAGUGAGACCACAUUCAAUAGCAAAAGUA